AGAACGACUCUCGGCAACGGAUAUCUCGGCUCUCGCAUCGAUGAAGAACGUAGCGAAAUGCGAUACUUGGUGUGAAUUGCAGAAUCCCGUGAACCAUCGAGUUUUUGAACGCAAGUUGCGCCCCAAGCCUCCGGGCCGAGGGCACGCCUGCCUGGGCGUCACGC
Molecule: ribosomal RNA, 164 nt
Filed under: Argemone munita
Lineage: Eukaryota; Viridiplantae; Streptophyta; Magnoliopsida; Ranunculales; Papaveraceae
Description: 5.8S ribosomal RNA
Rfam family: 5.8S ribosomal RNA
About the family: 5.8S ribosomal RNA (5.8S rRNA) is a component of the large subunit of the eukaryotic ribosome. It is transcribed by RNA polymerase I as part of the 45S precursor that also contains 18S and 28S rRNA. Functionally, it is thought that 5.8S rRNA may be involved in ribosome translocation.
Source: RNAcentral